UAGGGUUUGAUCCUGGCUCAGAUUGAACGCUGGCGGCAGGCUUAACACAUGCAAGUCGAACGGUAGCAGGAGAAAGCUUGCUUUCUUGCUGACGAGUGGCGGACGGGUGAGUAAUGCUUGGGAAUCUGGCUUAUGGAGGGGGAUAACGACGGGAAACUGUCGCUAAUACCGCGUAUUAUCGGAAGAUGAAAGUGCGGGACUGAGAGGCCGCAUGCCAUAGGAUGAGCCCAAGUGGGAUUAGGUAGUUGGUGGGGUAAAUGCCUACCAAGCCUGCGAUCUCUAGCUGGUCUGAGAGGAUGACCAGCCACACUGGAACUGAGACACGGUCCAGACUCCUACGGGAGGCAGCAGUGGGGAAUAUUGCGCAAUGGGGGGAACCCUGACGCAGCCAUGCCGCGUGAAUGAAGAAGGCCUUCGGGUUGUAAAGUUCUUUCGGUAUUGAGGAAGGUUGAUGUGUUAAUAGCACAUCAAAUUGACGUUAAAUACAGAAGAAGCACCGGCUAACUCCGUGCCAGCAGCCGCGGUAAUACGGAGGGUGCGAGCGUUAAUCGGAAUAACUGGGCGUAAAGGGCACGCAGGCGGUUAUUUAAGUGAGGUGUGAAAGCCCCGGGCUUAACCUGGGAAUUGCAUUUCAGACUGGGUAACUAGAGUACUUUAGGGAGGGGUAGAAUUCCACGUGUAGCGGUGAAAUGCGUAGAGAUGUGGAGGAAUACCGAARGCGAAGGCAGCCCCUUGGGAAUGUACUGACGCUCAUGUGCGAAAGCGUGGGGAGCAAACAGGAUUAGAUACCCUGGUAGUCCACGCUGUAAACGCUGUCGAUUUGGGGGUUGGGGUUUAACUCUGGCGCCCGUAGCUAACGUGAUAAAUCGACCGCCUGGGGAGUACGGCCGCAAGGUUAAAACUCAAAGGAAUUGACGGG
This 919-nucleotide ribosomal RNA is filed under the name uncultured bacterium. RNAcentral's name for it is "bacterial SSU rRNA". It matches the Rfam family "Bacterial small subunit ribosomal RNA", at positions 1 to 917 of the family's 1533-position model. The record is from RNAcentral.